RNAcentral lists this non-coding RNA (28 nucleotides) under Bombyx mori (domestic silkworm). Lineage: Eukaryota; Metazoa; Arthropoda; Insecta; Lepidoptera; Bombycidae. The record is from RNAcentral.
UAGCAGUACAGUCUUGCACGCCUAUUAU